CCCUUAGAUGUUCUGGGCAGCACGCGCGCUACAAUGGUCUUCGCAAACGGAUGCAUUCUCGAAGGAGAAUGCCAAUCUUGGAAUCUAUGCCUUGGUCCGGACAGUUGCUUGCAAUUUUUCGACUCGAACCAGGAAUUCCUUGUAAUCGUGAUUCAUCACAUCACGAUGAAUACGUCCCUGCCCUUUGUACACACCGCCCGUCGCUCCUACCGAUCGAAGAGUUAGGUGAAUUGUUUUGAUCGAUAAGAUUUGACUAUGGUCAACUCUCGUUGUGAAAUUCUGUGAAUCUGACUGUUUAGAGGAAGGAAAAGUCGUAACA
This 319-nucleotide ribosomal RNA is filed under the name uncultured eukaryote. RNAcentral's name for it is "partial 18S ribosomal RNA". It matches the Rfam family "Eukaryotic small subunit ribosomal RNA", at positions 1470 to 1796 of the family's 1831-position model. The record is from RNAcentral.